CCUCAGGGAGGGGACUGCUCCCAUGCAAGAAGACACCGGACCAGAGCUUUGAAAGAUCUGAGCUGGGGUAAGGGUAGGGGUGGCGGUGGGGAGCCGUGAUUGCACUGGGAAGCCUUCGAGGCAGAAGGAGCUGUGGGAGGGUGGGUUGGAAGCCAGUUAGAGAUGCAGGAUCAUACAUACCAAGUCAACAGUCCGUACAGUGAAGUUCAAAAGUAAAAACUACAAAAUGGAUCAUUCAUGUUUUUGAUCAAAGCAUGCACAGGGUGCUGUGGGGGAUCCUCAGAGCCCCGGGAGGAGGCAGGGGAGUCCCGUGGCUGAGCUCACUGGGCUAACUAAGGCUUCUGAAGGCGCGGCUGGAAGCUGGUGGAGGCCAUCUCCUGCAGAAUGGAGUGCAGGUGUAAGGCGCAGAGGUUGAGAGAAUGCGGCGUUGCCAGAGGGGAGCAGCCAGGCAGUUGAGGACACGUGGAAAGGACAUCGCUUGGAGGAGCGGCCGCACAGUGGAGGUGAUGGGUUGCUGGCAGCACUCACCAGCUCUUCAAUCCUAAGGGCUUGAACUGUGUUCUGAAUGGGGAACAGGACUGCCAGUGAGGAACUUAUACACCCACCUGUUCACAUAGGGUGUAGGGGACUGGGCUCUUUAUAGACCUUUACAUAAUAAUGAAUAUAUAAAAUACUUAAAAUAUUUUAAAUUUUAUUUGUUUAUUUGAAAGGCAGAGUGAUGGAGAGAGAGAGAGAGAGAGAGAGAGAGAGAGAGAGAGAGAGAAUCUUUAUCUGCUCACUCUCCCACCAAAUGGCCACAAGAGCUGGGACUAGGCCCAAGUCGGGAGCUGGGAAGUUCAUAGGGUCUCUCACGUGGGUGGCAGGGGCCCAGGUAUUUGGGCCAUUAUCCACUGCUUUCCCAGGUGCAGUAAGCAAGAAGCUGAACUGGGAGCUGAGCAGCCGGAACUUGAACUGGUGUACUGAUAGAGCAUGCUGGUGUCACCAAGCAGCAUCCUAACCCGCUGUGCCACAACACUGGCCCCAAAAUAUUUCAAAUUUAAACAUAGAAAUUUCUCCUUAUCAUAGCAACUCGUGUUCAUUAUGGAAAGCUGGAAAAUGCCUAGAGAACAAAAUGGAGGAAAAUCCCUCAAUCUCAGUACCUGAUAGAACUGUUUGUUGCUAUUUCAGCAACUGUUUCCCAAAUACAUAUAUUUAAGAAACCAGCAAUUUGUAUUUUUUAAAAUUUAUUUGACAGGUAGAGAUAAAGAUAGUGAGAGAGAUAGAGAGAAAGGUCUUCCUUUCCCAUUGCUUCACCCCCCCCCCCCAAAUGGCCACCACGGCCAGCGCACUGUGGCCAGUGUGCUGCGCUGAUCUGAAGCCAGGAGCCAGGUGCUUCCUCCUGGUCUCCCAUGUGGGUGCAGGGCCCAAGCACUUGGGCCAUCCUCCACUGCCCUCCUGGGCCACAGCAGAGAGCUGGACUGGAAGAGGACCAACUGGGACAGAAUCUGGCAUCCACACCGGGACCAGAACCUGGGGUGCUGGCGCCACAGGCAGAGUAAAGAUUAACCAAGUGAACCACUGCACCGGCCCUCCAGCAAUUUGUAUUUUGAAAUUCAUAUAUUGUUUAAGGGUUUUUUUGAAAGUCAGAGUUAUAGAUAGAGAGGGAGACACACAGAGAGAGAGAGAGAGAUCUUUCAUACUCUUGUUCACUCCCCAGAUGGCCAGUAUCUUCUUCUGGGUCUCCCAUGUGGGUGGCCAGGGCCCAAACACUUGGGCCAUCUUCUGCUGUUUUCCGCAGGCCAUUAGCAGGGAGCUGGACCGGAAGUGGUACAGCAGGGACACGAACUGGUGCCCAUAUUGGAUGCUGGCAUUGCAGGCCAUGGCUUUACCUGCUAUGCUACAAUUCCAGCCCCAUGAAAUGCAUGUUUUAUAACCUAAUUCUUAAUUGAACACUUGAUUGACAUGUAAAUUUGAAAAACUUAGUUAAAUGUUUACAUAAUUUUCUUGGUUUUAGAAUAUACACAUUUUAAAUCCUUUUGUUAUGUGUUGUCAGAUUACUUCUGAAAAGCGGCCUGUCAGUGGUGCUGUUGGUAUUUUGUAAUGCUCAUCCUUCCUGUUAUUUUUAACAAGUCACGUCUAUCUAGCACUAACGGGAGACUGUGAGAGCCCCCUAGUGGCCAAACUAAUUUCUGCACAAAAUACUAUCUUCAGUGGAAUUGAAAUCUAGUUCCUAAAUCUAAAUGGCAAAGAGAGAGGGUGACUAGAUAAUUCUAAUCUUAGCAGUUAAAAAUGCCUUGAUUAGAGAAGAGAUGUUAUUCUCUUUCCUUUCAAAUUCUUUAUGUGCUGCUGGAUUUUGAUAUAUUUUGAAGUUCACUGCUGUGUAAUAUAAAGGUUAAGAGUCUAUUCCCAAUCAGGUUUACAACCAAGUGCAUUAUUAUUUUUGAUGUGGAAGCUAAUAAUUACUGAAUACUCAUUAUGUUUUGGAUGCUCCUCCAAGCAUUUUACAUACAGCAGCACAUGAAAUUCUCACCACCAUCACGAAGUGAGUGCUAUUGCUAAUGCCAUUUUACUGGCAGGAAAUAGAACAUUAGUUGUUAACAUGAUUAUUUAACAAAAAAAGGCUACAUGACACAAUCAGUAAGAGAUCAGUCAGGAUCCCAGCCCAGUGCUCUUAACCACCCUGUUCUAGCAUUAUUCUAGACCUUGGAGUUCAAGAAUGUUCCCACUCAAGGUAACUUAACAAAAUGGAACUUUGAUUUAUGUAAGAAACAAAAAGCAAAAACAAUAGGUAUGGUGGAGACAGAAGCGUCUUUUCUGGACAUUUUUUUUAAAGGAAACUCUAUUAUUGAUAAUUCAAAUUAUGCUUUUAAAAUUAUGUAUUAAUUGAAUGAGAGGACACCUAAUUGAUUUGAUCAUUUUAUAAUUCAUGUUUUCAGUAAAAGUUAAAAUUUGACCUGUUAUUUCCAUGUUUUAGGUAGCAAAAUGGAAACAUAUACUCUUAAUUUCUGAGCUUGGGGGCCAGUGCUGUGGUGUAGUAGGCCAAGCCUCUGCCUGUGGUGCCCGCAUCCCAUAAGGGCACUGGUUCUAGUCCAGGCUGCUCCACUUCUGAUCCAGCUCCCUGCUAAUAGCUUGGGAAAACAGAAGAUGGCCCAAGUACUGGGGCCCCUGCACCCAUGUGGGAAUCCUGGAAGAAGUUCCUGGCUCCUGGCUUUGGAUAGGCCCAGUUCUGGCCAUUGUGGCUAUUUGGGAAGUAAACCAGUGGAUGGAAGACUUUUUUCUCUGCCUCCCUCUGUCUGUAACUCUACCUCUCAAGAAAAUAAAUAAAAUCUUUGGAAAAAAAAUAAUUUCUGAUAUAAAGAAUUUUAGCUUUAAAAAUUAAAAAAAAUUAAAAAAAAGAAUUUUAGCUUUAUAUUUAGGUUAUUUCUUAGUUUUCCUUCCGGUACUGACAUACUUGAGGCAGGUGUUUGGUCUAGCAGUUAAGUUGCUGGUUGGGAUGCCUGCAUUCUAUUUUGGAGUGCUGGGUUUGAUGUCUGGCCCUGGCUUCUGGUUCCAGCUUCCUGCUAAUGUUGACCUUGGGAGGCGGUGGUGAAGGUUCAAAUAGUCGGCUCCCUGCCAUUCAUAUGGGAAAGCUGGAUGGAGCUCCUGGCUCCCAGCUUUAGCUACCAGCCAUUGCAGAUAUUUGGGGAGUGAACCAAUGGAAGAGAACUCUCUGCUGGCCUUUUUCUCUCUCUGCCUCUCAAAUAAAUACAUUACAAAUUUACACAUUUUAUUAUUAUUACAGUUUUAGAAAAUGUGAUCUCCAGUUUGGGCUACAACUGAGAUGUAGUCUUCAGGAAGCAUCAUCAUACUAUAAAGGUUGAACUAGACAUGCUGUCAUCCAGUGUGUCCUGAGACCUCUGGUAGAGAAGCAGAUAAAUAGAAUUGAGUGUCCAAAGACAGAAAACACCAAGAGGACCAAAAACUCCAGCUGUUUUUUGGAGCUCCAGAUGGAAGUCACUGUGACGGUGCUGCUCUUUGAUGGAGCUAUGCCGCUUGAGGUAAUCAGAGAUUUUCUGCAGAGGAACUGGGAGGUACAACCCCUGCUAUUGGAGAAGGCUGCACUUUACAAGGAACAGGAAGUGGAUUCCUGUGGCCACCAAGGACUAUGCCCCGCCUCUAGCCAACUCCCUUGACCGCUUCUAAUUCCUGCCUCCGAUUUCUUCUGUGCAGGGUCUCAGAUUUCUGUACCAGCCCAAUGCAGGGACUUGUAAGUUUUCUCUCUCUCUCCCUCCCCCCCGCCCCAAUCCUUCAAUUCAGUUGCAUUCAGCUGACGUGUAUUGAAGGCACACAUGAGUUACAAUGAUGAACAAAAUCAAAAACCAAAACACAGAACCCUGGAGCUCCCAGGGUAUUUCACUUUUUAGAAGGCUAUGUUUGAUAUACUUACAUACAGUGAAUCUGUACCACAAUACUUCUGAAGAUGUUUGUACCUGGGGCUUUUGUAUUGUCAAGUAUUUAAAAUCUACCCAAAGAAUAUAUCCUUUAGAAACAAAUCUUAUUAGCAUUUUUAGACAUCUGAAAUCAGAAAUCUUGCCUACACAAUUUUAUUUAUGUCCUGUGUCUUCAUGUCUGGUUUCCUACAGAGUGCAUCUUUCUUAAUCUAUGAAAAAGGCUUUCAGAGAAGUUAAUACGAGAGUUGUGUCUAAUUAGCACUUCUUUGGCACAUGUCAAGUUGAGGUUAAUUAUGUUUCUCUAAUCCACAGCCUCUUUUACACAGAAAAUGUUUCACCUGCCAUGCCAUGGUAAAAGACAACCACUAGUAGGCGCUGAGAGCUCACUCUUUGGCCUAGGCCUUGCUGUCCGCUUGGGCUUUUGAAGUUGGUCUGCAAACAUUUGCCUUGCCAUAUGCAGUGACACUCUAACUAAAUCACUAGUCUGAUGAAUGACGUGUAGGUGUAAAUAGUAGAAAAUAGUUAACCAGGCCAUUUUCUUCGUUCAGUGAACAUCAGGUUUUAGGGCCGUGAGUGGCCCUCUAAUCCUCCCCGUAAGUUCCUUUGAAUCAAAAGUAAAAUUAAGGAACUUUCUCUGGAGUCAUACGAAAGACUCUUAUAUUUUUCAUAAUGGAAAGAAGACAGGACUGAGGGUCAGAGGCCUGAAGUCGGGUCUGAGUACACUUUACUAGUUCUGUUUUAGCUGUAGAAAUGUGAAGACACAGGAUGGCAGAGUUUUCUGGGAGAAAACUGAGACUAUUGGACUCUGAUAGACUGACUCUCAACUGGGAGGGUACUCGGGACUGUGGUAGCUCUGGAAUGCCAGUUUACUAAGGUGGGAAGUCAGAUUCUUUUUUUUUUUUUUUUUAGAUUUUAUUUAUUUAUUUAUUUUAAGGACUUAUUUAUUUAUUUGAAAGACAGAGUUACACAGAGAGAGGAGAGGCAGAGAGAGAGAGAGAGAGAGAGAGAGAGAGAAUCUUCCAUCUGCUGGUUCACUCUCCAAAUGGCUGCAAUGGCCAGAGCUGUGCUGAUCUAAAGCCAGGAGCUUCUUGGUUCAGGGGCCCAAGGACUUGGACCAUCUUCCACUGCUUUCCCAGGCCAUAGCAGAGAGCUUGAUAGGAAGUGGAGCAGCUAGGACUCCAACUGGCACCCAUAUGGGAUGGUGGCACUGCAGGCCGCAGCUUUACCUACUAUGCCAUAGCACCGGCCCCAAAAGGUUUUAUUUAUUUAUUUGAGGCAGAGUUACAGACAGGGAAAGACAGAGAGAAGGUUUUCUAUCCACUGAUUCACUCCCCUAAAUGGCCACAACAGCCAGAGCUGGGCCGAACUGAAGCCAGGAGCCAGGAGCUUCUUCUGGGUCUCCCACAUGAGUGCAGGGGCCCAAGCACUUGGGCCAUCUUCUACUGCUUUCCCAGGCCACAGCAGAGAGCUGGAGUGGAAGAGGAGCAGCUGGGACAUGAACCAGCACCCAUAUGGGAUGCCAAUGUCGCAGGCAGAGGCUUAGCCCACUAAGCCACAGUGCUGGCCCCAGGGAAGUCAGAUUCUAAGCACAAAGAUGGCUUGGGAAGUAGAGUCACAGCUAAGUAUUAUGGAUGCCUUUAACUAAUUAAUUAAUUUGAAAUCCAGCAUUAGCCGGUGCCAUGGCUCAAUAGGCUAAUCCUCCGCCUUGUAGUGCCGGCACACCGGGUUCUAGUUCUGGUCGGGGCACUGGAUUCUGUCCUGGUUGCCCCUCUUCCAGGCCAGCUCUCUGCUGUGGCCAGGGAGUGCAGUGGAGGAUGGCCCAAGUCCUUGGGCCCUGCAUCUGCAUGGGAGACCAGGAGAAGCACCUGGUUCCUGCCUUUGGAUCAGCGCGGUGCGCCGGCCGCGGCAGCCAUUGGAGGGUGAACCAACAGCAAAAGGAAGACCUUCCUCUCUGUCUCUCUCUCUCACACUGUCCACUCUGCCUGUCAAAAAAAAAAAAAAAAAAAAAAUCGAGCAUUCUAGAUGAGCGAGUGAGCGAGUGAGUGAGAGAACUUCUAUCAGCUGGUUCACUCCCCAGAUGGCCACAAUGACCGGGGCUGGGCCAGGCUGAAGCUAGGAGCCAGGAGCCAGGAGCCAGGAGUUCCAUCCAGGUUUCCCAUAUGGUGCAGUGGUAGGGGCCCAAGCACUUGAGCCAUCCUACCCUGCCUUUCCCAGGCCAUUAGCAGAGAGCUGGAUCAGAAGUGGAGCAGCCAGGACACAAACCAGUGCUGAUAUGGGUGUGGUGUCACAGGAGACAGCUUUACCCACCACGCUACAAUGCUGGUGCCUAUGCAUGCAUUUAGCAUGAGUUAGCAUGAGUUCCCCAGCUAACAUGAUUUAAGGGACUUCCCCAUUAUACCAAGAGCGUUACCAAUGGGACAGCAUCCUGAGAAUCUGUGUGCCAUCUCCUGUAGAUGUACGGGACCCUUAUCACCUGCAACUGCUUUGGGCUUCCUGGUCCUGGGUGUCCAUGGCUGCCUGCUUCCUUCCAAAUGGACGUGGCUUCUCUUGACUUAACAGCUGAUUCAUUCAAACAGGUGGCCACUUGGGUAGCUUUCUGUUCAUGCAUGCUGGGAUGUUUUAGACACUAAUCUUUUGAUUUCUCUCAUCAGAUAAUAAUAUCCUAAUUAUUUAGCUUUCACAUUUAUUAAAAGCAACUCACAUUUCCAAUGAACCUAUUUUGCUUCUAAAUAACACAAACUGUAGCUAACACUCGUGAGUGGCCAUCAGUGCCGGGUGCUGUGCUAAGACUGUGGUAACUUAUUUCACUUAGUCCUCGCGAUGACCACAAGGGAGCAUUUGGCGUUCUCACCGUGUAGAGGAAGGGCUCGAGUGAUGUGGGUCACUGGCAGCCCAGGUGGUGACGAGGGCGCCAUUCCAGGACAGCAGUCUUAGCAGCUGGGCCUCUCGUGUUGCCACUGAGUGCCUGAGUUUUGAAAUCUGGCUUCACACUCACCUGUCUGUGUGAUCCAUGGGUAAUCUGGGCACCGGUGCAUUCCGAUUGGUGGGAUUUGCAUGACUUCGAGUUUCAAAUGGAGUGUCAUGUGCAGACUUCACAGCUGCUUUUGCAAUGAAUUGAUGUUGCUUGAGUUUUAUGUUAUAUAUUAUACUUAGUCCAAAAGCUAUUUUUUAAAAAUGGCUUCUAUUUAUUUUUAAAAAAUAUUUAUUUAUUUGAAAGGCAGACUUACAGAGAGGAAGAGGCAGAGAGAGAGAGAGAGAGAGAGGUCUCCCAUCUGCUGGUUCACUCCCCAGAUGGCUGCAAUGGCUGGAAAUGCACCAAUCUGAAGCCAGGAGCCAGGAGUUUCUGGUGUCCCGUGCGGGUGCAGGGUGCUUUUCCAGGCCAUAGCAGAGAGCUGGAUGGGAAGUGGAUCAACCAGGAUAUGAACCGGUGCCUAUAUGAGAUGCUGGCAGUGCAGAUGGCAGCUUUACCCACUAAGCCACAGGGCCGGCCUUCCUUUUAUUUUUGUUUUAUUUGAAAGUGGAGGGUGGGGGGGAGACAAAGAGAAUGAGCAAUAUCUUCCAUUCAUUGUUUUACUCCCCAGAUGCCUGCAACAGCCAGGGCUGGGCCAGGCUGAAGUCAGGACCCUGGAACUCCACCUAGGAUCCCCAUGUAGACGUCAAGGUUCCAACUAUUUGUGCCAUCACCUGCUGCCUUCCAGGGUGUGGGUUGGCAGGAAGCUGGAAUGGGAAGUGUAGCUGGGACUUAAACCUAGGCACUUUGAAGUGAGACACGGGCAUCCCAAGUCACAUAUUAAUUGCUACAACACUCUCCCAUCCCAAAAGCUAUUUUAAAAAAUGUUGCCAGGAUGAAAAGCCCAUGAGAGUAUUUCAGGCAUGGAAAGCCAAGACACUCUGG
Oryctolagus cuniculus (rabbit) is the source of this 8304-nucleotide non-coding RNA. The record is from RefSeq and is a predicted model, not a curated record. Lineage: Eukaryota; Metazoa; Chordata; Mammalia; Lagomorpha; Leporidae.